GAUUUGCGUUAGUGAUGGGAACGGCAUCCUUUUUUGUUUUAUUGCCUGAGGCUCUCGAAGGCAAGAAAGCAAAAAAGAUAUAGUGGACAGCACGGCCCAAA
Molecule: small RNA, 101 nt
Filed under: Flavobacterium terrigena
Lineage: Bacteria; Pseudomonadati; Bacteroidota; Flavobacteriia; Flavobacteriales; Flavobacteriaceae
Description: Flavo-1 RNA
Rfam family: Flavo-1 RNA
Source: RNAcentral